This 56-nucleotide transfer RNA is filed under the name Neomysis orientalis. RNAcentral's name for it is "tRNA-Ile". The record is from RNAcentral. Lineage: Eukaryota; Metazoa; Arthropoda; Malacostraca; Mysida; Mysidae.
UUAAGAGUUUAUAAUAAUUGUUGAUACCCAUUAUUGAGUGUAAAUCACCUCUUAAC